AUGAGGGGGCGGUGCGGAGAAGGGGCCCGGACGGUGGUGCUGGCGGCUCUGGUGCUGCUGCUGGCUUCCACCCGCUGGGAAGGUGCGAAGGCGCGUCCUGCGGCUUGGGGACAGCUGGGCGCUGGCAGCAGCCAGAGAGCGCGCAACGUGGUGAUGGUGAUGUGCGAUGCCUUUGAUGGAAGGCUGACAUUUUAUCCAGGAAAUCAGACCGUGAUCCUACCUUUUAUAAAUCUCAUGAAAAGAUAUGGCACUGUUUUUCUCAAUGCCUACACCAAUUCUCCAAUAUGUUGUCCUUCUCGUGCAGCUAUGUGGAGUGGCCUCUUCACUCAUUUAACAGAAUCUUGGAAUAACUUCAAAGGUUUAGAUCCAAAUUAUACAACAUGGAUGGACCUGAUGCAAAAGCAUGGCUACCACACUCAGAAAUAUGGGAAACUAGAUUAUACUUCGGGACAUCACUCAGUGAGUAACCGUGUGGAAGCUUGGACAAGGGAUGUUGAUUUCCUGCUCAGACAAGAAGGCAGACCCAUGGUGAAUCUUACUGGCAACAAGACAUUCAUGAGAGUGAUGGAAGAAGAUUGGCAGAAUACUGAUAAAGCAGCAAGUUGGAUAAGGAAAGAAGCCACUAGCUUUAAUCAACCAUUUGUUCUUUACCUGGGGUUAAAUUUACCACAUCCAUACCCAUCGCCCUCUACAGGGGAAAAUUUUGGGUCCUCUACAUUUCUAACAUCUCCCUAUUGGCUUGAAAAGGUGACAUAUGAAGCCAUUAAAAUUCCAAAAUGGCCUCCUCUUUCAGACAUGCACCCAGUAGAUUAUUAUUCUUCUUACACCAAGAAUUGCACAGGGCAGUUUACAAGGAAAGAAAUCAGAGAUAUCAGAGCAUUUUAUUAUGCUAUGUGUGCAGAGACAGAUGCCAUGCUUGGUGAGAUCAUUUCAGCUCUAAGUGAUACAGGACUUUUAAAAAGAACCAUUGUUAUAUUCACAGCAGAUCAUGGAGAACUUGCUAUGGAACAUCAGCAGUUUUAUAAAAUGAGCAUGUAUGAAGCAAGUUCCCAUGUUCCUCUUCUAGUUAUGGGGCCAAGCAUUAAAGGUCAUCACCACCUAUCAAAUGUGGUAUCUCUUGUAGAUAUUUAUCCAACUAUGCUUGUCUUAAGAUGUAAACACACAAGAAAUGUUAUGGAUCUCAGUAAUCCCUACUACUUACCUACUUGACCAUUGACUGUAAACAUCACAGUACAAGUGGGUCCUGAGGAGGGAUUUCAAGUCAAAGUCAAGCUCAACUGUGCCUAAUAGGAAGAGGCACAUCAUCAGCAUCGUUUUAGUUAGCUGCAGGAGUACUCCAGAGUUCUGGUUAACCUCUAGUGUGAGUACAGCAAGCGUUAUGGAGUAUCCAGAACAUCCACAUAUGAGAGCAUCAUGAAGAAGCAUCAUGGGCUUAACUGGAUUGGUGUGCAGCACAGGGAGCGCAUCAAGCACUUAAAGCUGGCACAGCAGAUCUUGCAACUCCCUAUCUAUAUGCCCUUUCUACAAGGAGUUUGGACCGGGUGCCACUGCCCUGAGCACAGAACCACUUGCCACUCCCUGAGCACAGAGCCCACCGUCCUUGACAUACUUCCGAAUGCAGAUCAUCUUGCUUUCAGACCAGAGGAAGGGGGUAAAAACUCUGGGGAUGGCACUGGCUGACAUCACAAUGAAAUCCCAUAAACCAACUGUGGAGCAGGAAGCCCAGGAUCAGUCCAUGUGGCCGGAUGGGUGAGUGGGUGUCCUGGGUGAAUUUUCAGAGGAUCUGUUCUGAGAUGGACCCAGAGAACUGUCCGGAGAGGAAGCAAUGCAGGACCAGGAAUUGGAUCCAUAGUCUGGUAAGUGCAACCCAUCAUCUUUAUUACCAUGUGGGAAAUUGUAGCAUAAGAGUGGGAUUUCAGGAUUAUGACCAAUAAAAUCAUUGUUAUGGAGGAUAUUACAUGGGAUGGGUUUAUCUUUGGGUAAGGGCAAAAGCCACCCUGCUUUCUCCGCAUCAUGUGUGAUCUAAAGUGAUUUUAAGUAUUGCCCAGGGCAGGAGGGUGAUUUAAACAUAUCUAGUGAUUCUUAACUAUUUUUUUAAAAAUAGCAGCAAAUUAUGAACAGCAACAGACUUAGCAAGCAUGAUUACAUCUCUUUCAAUAUACCACUGUCUGCAACUCAAUCACCCCAGUAGCAUUAAAGCAUUGUCCCAGACAAUAUGGAUUAUAAAUCCCACUGGCUGCAUUAAGUAGUUAAGUCCCUUGUGGACUUCAGUGCUUGGCCGUCUGGUUCUGUCCAUUCACAGCACGCUGUCUGGGCUGGGGUUGGGAGUGAAAAUCAGUUCUGCUCUUCAGAACUCUCUGCAUCCUACUUCAGCCUCCUGAUAACAUUUGCCUGAAUUUUCUCCCACUUCUGGAAGAUGCUUGAAAGUUUUUCAUAAAGGAGAAAUUCAAGCGGGUUUGUAAAAUUCCUGGAUAGGCAAACUUCCAGUGGCUGCCUACAUAACCAACCAACCCUCUCCAUGCUUUGAUCUGUUGUUCAAUCACCAGGCAACCACAAAAAUCUCCCUUGCUUAGAUAGGUAGAUUUCUGCAUGCAGCCUGCAAAAUUUGUUUGUCCUUCCAAAUAAUAAUAUCCUCCAAGGCUUCCCUGGCCUGAAAUAAUAUUGAAACUACUACUGGUAACAGAGCCCUAACCCCACAACCACCUCCUGACAUUUUUUGUAAAGUAAUAGUUAAAUCUGAAAAUCUUACCAUGGUUUGUCUUUUGUCUGGGAAUGUUGCUAGAAGAAGCUUCUGAAUACAUUAGUGUAUGAAGAUGAUGAAAUAAAAGCAUACCAGGUUGAAAAAAAGUUUCAAACCUUGGCCUCAUUUUGAUGCAAAACAUAAAGUGGGAAGGAUUCUUUCCUUUCUCCAAGCCCUCUGCCUCCCUUGAAAAAAGUAAUAAGCUCUUUCAUUUUCUUGACAGGCAUUUCCACUUCAGCUGUACCAACAUUACCACACUGGACUCUUGGGGACAGAACCCUUAACCAGCAUGGGAAGAGACCAGUGCUUGCAAACUCUUCUCUGUGGUACCACAUCUUGCAGCAAGUGCAGCGACUGGCAAACUCAAACUGACCAACCAGUGAAUAGCUCUAUGAAUUGGAAUGGGCAGAUGUACUCUAUGUAUUCCAGCCCUUUACAGUGCAGUCGCCAUGUUUGGCCAGGGAGAAG
This is an RNA transcript of Dermochelys coriacea (leatherback sea turtle), 3208 nucleotides long. It is a transcript of the gene named arylsulfatase family member K, with no coding region annotated. The record is from RefSeq and is a predicted model, not a curated record. Lineage: Eukaryota; Metazoa; Chordata; Testudines; Dermochelyidae. The transcript has 8 exons.